CCUCCUAGCCCCCCUCCGGCGCCGCCGCCACCUCCUCCGCCUAGGGACUUGCUCAGCUGCUUUCUGUGAGCCUCCGCCACCCUCGGCGCGGGGUGAAUAAUCCGGCCGGAGCGACGGCGUCCAGGUGUAUUUUACAAACCUUUAAGGAGCCAGUUCUGCGAGAACAACUCAACACACCGAGUGGUGACUUACAACUACAGCCUGGGUGAAUGGUCUAACGUUGGCCCUGGGAUACUCCUAGGCGUCCUGAGAGGUCCUUGAAGCACAUGCCUCUGCGAGGGAACCUGAGUCCAGAAGAGAAGAGCUGUGACAAAGGAGCGAGCCGAAGGCAGUCUCCCCAGCCCAGCACCCUCGGACAAGCAAUGACUGCAGGCGGGUGUUCCAGAGCAAGAGAAUAAGCUUUCCAUGAAAAAAAAGUCUCUUGCUGUGUGUCUGCACAGCACGCUUCACAAUGAGGUCCACAGCAGCUGGGAUCUUUCAGUGCAGCAGAAAAAAUCAGCAUCCCUGCAUUUGAAGAAGUGAGCGGGCAGGUGCUCCAGCGAAAAUGUGAAAAACUCCAUGGCUGAUGAGCAUUAAGUGUCCUUAUUUCCAGGCAUCAGCAAGUAAACACUUAAAAGAGACAGUCUUACACUAGGGAGUAACUUAUCAGGUUUGUUUUCUCCUCUUCCAGGUACAUGGAUUUACAUAGAAAAUGCUGGAUGACUCCUUUGUUUCUAGGAUCCAUAUAUCCAUAGAUCAGACAAAUUUGUGAUUGCUAAUGCCUUCCUGGGAACAGGCUCAUGGAAUCAGAUACUUGGUAGAAAUCAAUGUAACAUGACUGCAUCAAUUUAUGUAUCUAGUCUUGUAGAUUUAUCAUUAAUCUCCUCCUCCAAGUUAAAUUUUUACUUCCUAUUUGUCAAGGUUACUUAGAGUCUUCCCUCAGCAUAAGCAGUGAUCUAACAUGUUCAUGAAAGUGGACUCUUGUGCCCGAACAGCCUCAGUCUGUAUAGAGGGAUGGCAUAGACUGGAGCCCAUGGCUACGAGCUCUGCCUUCUCAUUUAUUUGCAUAGCACUCUGCAUAAUGUUUUGGACCCUUGGGGUUUUGCCAUAGAAGAGUAAUAAUAAACAAGGAAAAUAUUGCAGAAGUAAAAUGCUCUGGAAUGGGUAAGUUCUUCCUUUUUUACACAAGUGAAAAGAAACACUGCUCAUCUGCUUGGUUUCUAACCAGUGAUUGACUGAGAGCAACUCUCUAGAUAAAUAUGAUGCUCAGAAAUCUUGUACUGGUGGUAUAUAUGUAUAAGCAGAAGAGGCUGAAGUGGAUCCAGCUAAUAAAGCUGGGUUUGUGGUUUUGCUUUUUCUUCCAUUCAGUCACAGGAUUUUUGUCUUACUUUAUUCUUUUGUGAUUUAUCUUCUCUAGCCAUGGGUUUCAGAGACUGGGAAGUUUUAACAUGAGGACUCUAGGGAAGUAAGCAGUAGAAUUGCUUAUGCCAUUUCUGUUGAGACUUCUGUUUUUACUCUAAUCCUAGUGUUUUGGCCACAUAAAUAGAAAUUAUGUGAAAGAAUACAAGAGAUGUUAAGCUACAGAAUUUCCUUCCUCUUGUGACCACAGACUGGCAGCCGUAGCAGCACCUUGGCUUUAAAUCUUUCAGCUGUAGGAGAUCAGGAGAGGAUAAAGCAGGUUUCUUGUGAGUGAUCUAGGCUAGGCUUCUUUUCGGAUUUCAGUCUGAUCACUCAGGUUAAUAGGAAAGAAUUAGCAGCAGCAAAGGGAGCAAUCUGCAGGGGGGCUUUAGCUGCUGCAGUCCUGCAUCUCGUGCAUUAUGCAACACCUAUCAUCAGUAUUCAGUAAAAACAUAUUGGAGGACAAAGACUCAAGCAUGCAUUUACCGAAAAGGGCAUGUGAAAUAAUACGGUGCAGGAAGAAAGACCCCAGAGACUGCCUACAUUGUGCCUACUUGUCAGCAUGAUCACACAGCUAAAGGAAAAGAGCAGGCCUGCUUUCCACCUGUGGCUCAGUCACAAAGCUAACAAGGCCUUUCUGUCCCAUUGAAAUUAAUGGCCAUUUUGCAGUUUUACCUGAAUGAGAAGCCGACAUCUCACAGAAGGAACUGGGGCAGCAACAUGUAAUAUGUCCCCAAACAGGAGGUACAAAAACAGUGGCAGAAUACAAAAAUACUAUGGGGUUCCUUCUUUCCUUCCUUCAAUGUGGAAAAAAAAAAGACAAAAAAAGAAAGAAAAAAAAUGCUACUUCUGUAACUGAUUUCUAAUAUGAGCCUAUUUUCAGUGCUAAAAAAUGAAUAGAGCUCACAUUGUCAACAGUAAAAUCAGCUUACUCUUGAGGCUGAUAUGCUCUGGCUCUCUCCAAAGGAAGAUAGAUUGAAGGGUGAAAGACUUCUGCAAAGGAAUGUAUCCAGGACACAGCUCAUAUCUUGUCCAUGCUUUCAAAGCUGCCCAGAGAGGGCAAGAACCACCAUAUUGCAGACAGCUGACUAAAACUCUGCCUGUAUCAUUGCUUCACAGAGAGCUGAAACAAAAGGAAAAGCCACACGAGGAAUGGAGGAGGAAAAAGACAGUAGAAAAUAACCAGUCUAAGAAUUUUAUAGGAGAAGGUAGAGAAAAAAGAUGCAUAAUGUAUUAUUGGCAGCUAACAAAGCUAAGGGUAAUAAUAAAAGCCUGUUUAAUGGAAUGGACAUAAAAGAACCACCAGGGAAAAGCAGGUCCACUGAUAAAUGAGGGAGAUAAUCAAAUUAACAAGAACUUUAUAAUGGCAGGGUUAAUGAACUGUUAUUUUGUGUUUAGUCACCCAGAAGAGGAAAAAAGGUGAAGAUGUAUGAGCAAUUACGCUUUAAUGAAGAUCUAGAUAAUAGGGUAGAAAUAGUUGACUGAAGUAAUGGAACAAUGUUGUGGAAUAUUUAGGAGGAGAUGUUGGCUAAGUGACAGGAACCUGUGUUGAAACCUACAUCUCAUUCACCCUGAAAAUUCAAAGUGUCCAGGAAAGUUAAGAAAAAUGGCUGCAAUGAUGGCCCAAUUCAAAGGCCGAUGGAGAUAACACUGCCCACUAACAGUGGGACACUGUCAUUGACUUCAUUGGUUUGGGAUCAAGAACUGAACAGAUGAGCAGGUUGUGGGGGUGCUCAGUCCUGCAAGGUGGGGAGAUGCCUGGACCCUGUCCAACAAAAAAAAGCACUUAAGUAGGUGAUACAUUUUAAGUACAAGCGCUGCUUUUCUAACUGCCGUAUGACUCAAUUUGCUUAUAGUUAAGCAUGUGCUUUGCUGACCUAGGGCCAGACGGCUCCUCAGUUUUUAGGACUGACCCCAUCCAAAUCUGGUAUUUCCCUCUUCCAAGCUUUGUAAUCCAAAAUUUUUGGUAGCUGAUACAGGGGACCUGAAGCAUUCUGUAAUAUGUCUUUCCCAAAAGGGAAGGAGCGAACUAAAUCCAUAAAUACAUUGUUUCAAGAAAAAAAUUCAAUUUUUUUAAAAGAGUUUAUCCAAUUUCUUUUCUGUUUUGAUAGUAGGAAGCCAUCAGCUUUUGAUCAAGGUAAAAUGUAGUUAAAGAAAGUGAAAGGCAAUUGGCUCUUUCAGUAAAACUAUGCAGAAACACCACAGUUCUUGGCACACAUUAUAACUGAACACUGAAACUGCUGUUUCUGUGGACAUAGAUUUAUACUUGCAUUAAAAUAAUACACUGA
Dromaius novaehollandiae (emu) is the source of this 3665-nucleotide long non-coding RNA. RefSeq lists it as uncharacterized. Lineage: Eukaryota; Metazoa; Chordata; Aves; Casuariiformes; Dromaiidae. The record is from RefSeq and is a predicted model, not a curated record. The transcript has 5 exons.